Molecule: ribosomal RNA, 406 nt
Filed under: uncultured bacterium
Lineage: Bacteria
Description: partial 16S ribosomal RNA
Rfam family: Bacterial small subunit ribosomal RNA
Source: RNAcentral
AUUGAACGCUGGCGGCAGGCCUAACACAUGCAAGUCGUACGAGUGGCGGACGGGUGAGUAAUGUCUGGGAAACUGCCCGAUGGAGGGGGAUUACUACUGGAAACGGUAGCUAAUACCGCAUACCAUCGGAUGUGCCCAGCUGGGAUUAGCUUGUUGGUGGGGUAAUGGCUCACCUAGGCGACAAUCCCUAGCUGGUCUGAGAGGAUGACAGGACAAACUGGAACUGAGACACGGUCCAGACUCAGACGGGAGACAGCAGUGAAGAAUAUUGCACAAUGGGCGCAAGCCUGAUGCAGCCAGGCCGCGUGUAUGAAGGAGGCCUUCGGGUUGUAAAGUACGUUCAGCGAGGAGGCGUUACUCGCAGAAGAAGCACCGGCAAACUCCGUGCCAGCAGCCGCGGUAAUUC